GCAGGUGACUGGGACUGUCAUUCUCUAGAUCCUACAGUGUGGCAUCAUCCAGUUACAUGGCAGCCAUCCAAAGAGGGUGACCACCUGAUCGGACGCAUCACGCUGAGCAAGAGAUCGGCAAUGCCCCGUGAGGCUGGCUCUCUCCUCGGCCUGAAAGUGGUAGGAGGGAAGAUGACAGAGAUGGGGAGACUUGGGGCCUUCAUCACCAAAGUCAAGAAAGGCAGCCUUGCAGAUGUUGUUGGACACCUACGAGCGG
Molecule: long non-coding RNA, 256 nt
Organism: Notothenia coriiceps (black rockcod)
Lineage: Eukaryota; Metazoa; Chordata; Actinopteri; Perciformes; Nototheniidae
Exons: 3
Source: RefSeq, a predicted model, not a curated record